UUAGCUAGUUGGUAAGGUAAUGGCUUACCAAGGCAGUGAUACGUAGCCGACUUGAGAGGGUGAUCGGCCACACUGGGACUGAGACACGGCCCAGACUCCUACGGGAGGCAGCAGUAGGGAAUCUUCCACAAUGGGUGCAAACCUGAUGGAGCAAUGCCGCGUGAGUGAAGAAGGUCUUCGGAUCGUAAAGCUCUGUUGUUAGAGAAGAACACGUGCUAGGUAACUACUAGCGCCUUGACGGUAUCUAACCAGAAAGUCACGGCUAACUACGUGCCAG
This 277-nucleotide ribosomal RNA is filed under the name Dolosigranulum pigrum. RNAcentral's name for it is "partial 16S ribosomal RNA". It matches the Rfam family "Bacterial small subunit ribosomal RNA", at positions 241 to 511 of the family's 1533-position model. The record is from RNAcentral. Lineage: Bacteria; Bacillati; Bacillota; Bacilli; Lactobacillales; Carnobacteriaceae.